This 466-nucleotide ribosomal RNA is filed under the name uncultured bacterium. RNAcentral describes it as "bacterial SSU rRNA". It matches the Rfam family "Bacterial small subunit ribosomal RNA", at positions 338 to 795 of the family's 1533-position model. The record is from RNAcentral.
CCUACGGGCUGCACCAGUGGGGAAUAUUGCACAAUGGGCGCAAGCCUGAUGCAGCCAUGCCGCGUGUAUGAAGAAGGCCCUAGGGUUGUAAAGUACUUUCAGUCGAGAGGAAGGCGUUGAUGCUAAUAUCAUCAACGAUUGACGUUACCGACAGAAGAAGCACCGGCUAACUCCGUGCCAGCAGCCGCGGUAAUACGGAAGGUGCAAGCGUUAAUCGGAAUUACUGGGCGUAAAGCGCACGCAGGCGGUUGAUUAAGUUAGAUGUGAAAUCCCCGGGCUUAACCUGGGAAUGGCAUCUAAGACUGGUCAGCUAGAGUCUUGUAGAGGGGGGUAGAAUUCCAUGUGUAGCGGUGAAAUGCGUAGAGAUCUGGAGGAAUACCGGUGGCGAAGGCAGCCCCCUGGACAAAGACUGACGCUCAGGUGCGAAAGCGUGGGGAGCAAACAGGAUUAGAUACCCCCAGUAGUC